ACAUAUAGAAGUUUAUUCAGUCAAUUGCCUCGCUGAUUUAUUAUUGUACGAUGCAAAACACUUAGUCAGCAUUGAAAACUUAAUUUUGCUCUCAGGUAUACCCGCGCAUAAACCAGACACCCUAAUAAAUGAAAAAGAAAAAAAAACACUAGCUAGUACUCCGCUUCUCUUCCCAUCGCCCUCGCCGACCAUCUGCUCCUCUACCGGCCGGGCUCUACAUCGCCUUCUCCUACUGCGCCAGCUCCUCCAAUUAUUCACCGUCGCGGCCGCCGCCACCGCCGCCUCUAAUUUCUUGCGACCUAUUCUGCACAAAUCGAACUCGCAUCCCCGUUUUCUCCCUCCUCUUCUCCAAUUGGUUCACCACACUCAAUCAGUACUUUUGUUGGUAUGGAAUAGUUGCUGAUCGAAUUUCGGCAUCCACGUCUUCUCCCUCCUCUUCUCCAACUGGUUCACCACACUAAGUCAUGUACAAAUAUUGAAUUUCGUUGAAGAUUAUUUUGUUUAAUUUGAAAGGUAUUUUUCAAUUUCAUUGAAUUUUGUGGUACUUUUAUUGGGUAUGCAAUAGCUUCUGAAUUUCCUUAACAAAUGCGAAUAUUAUAAUCGUAGUUUUUGAUGAAUUGUAAUUGGGCUAAAGUUUUGGCAAGAAUAUGAAUCUAGACAAGUGCUGCUUCAUAUUAUAUUAUUACUGACCAAGAAAAUAAGAACAGUAAAGAACCGGAGUACUUAAAACUAAAUGGAUGUUCUGCCCUACUUUGUAGUUUUCAUGAAUCUGAUAUGUUUUGUGCACUCUGGUUCUGUGCAAUCUGCUCUGUUUUUGUGCAAUUCGUUUUGGUACCGUUAGCUCUUUUUUCAGAAUGCUCAGUCAGUUGGGUGUUCAUAUGUACUUAUCGGAACUAAUCUAAUUAGAACUGUUCGGAACUGAUCAGAUCAGAACUCAUCAGAACUGAACUGUACUGUUAUGAACUAAUUAAUUUUGAUCUGACCAGUUCAGUUUUGAUCGGUUCUAAUCUGAACUGAACUGUUUAGAACUGAUCAGAUCAGAACUAAUCAGACCUGAACUGUUCUGUAAGAGCAGAGAGAGUAUAAUUUAUGAAAUUGUAGUAUUAUUAUUUAUUAUAAACGACAAGAUUACAUGGAUGUGGAGAAACCGAAACAUCAUCUCAAUCACAAAGCCAUAGAGAAAAAGACACACAACUAGUAGAGCUAGCUUACAAUGAACUUACAAAUAAGUAAAAAUGUUGAUUGAUUACAAAUGAUUAGGGCUCAACUGAAGUGACUUAAAAUAGGUGGUGGUGCUUCUUUCCUUCAUGAUCGUGCUCUUUCUUCUCCUCCUUGGCAUCCUUCUUCUCAUGGUGUUCAUGGAAGGCAUAGCCACCAGCUCCAACCGCCGCAGCGGCCGCGAUUUCCUCCUCAAUCUUGUGCUUGUGAGCAUGCUCUGGGUCUUUCUUUGCCUUAUGCUUCUCAUGCUGCAAUUACCCACACAUGACAUUUAGCAACUAAUAAUCCACUAAAUUGUUGCUUAAUUUAAUUAGCAACUACCACAUCAAUUAAUUGAUUAAUGUACAACUAAUUAGGUAAGAAGUCACUUUCGCCAUAGCAUUGUUGUUGACUCGUAAGGUUAUACUUUUUGUUUUCUCAAGGUAAAGGAAAAACACAAACUCGUAUAAAAAUUGUAUGGUAGGAUUUUUAUUUGUCCGACUAUGUAUUAGUUAUACGAAACAGAAAUUUGAAGAAGGUAAAAAUCACCUUUUUGACUGGCUAACUAUGUACUUCCUCCGUUCCGGAAAUAUCGCAUCAUGGUUUACUUUUACUCCUCUAAUCAUUAUUUUAACUCUUAAUAUCUCAAAUUAUAUGCAAGUAAAGAUUAUAAUAAAAUAAUAUUUAGAAAAUAUAUAACGGUAUGAAUCUAACAUGACCCCACAUGACUAAAAUUACUUUACGUACAAAUCACAAAAAAUGGCCAAAUUCGUAGUGUGAAUAGUGUAAAAAACAAAUGGUGCGACAUUUCCGGAACGGAUGAAAUAUAACAUUUGAUCAGCCCGAUAAAAAUCUCUAGUCGCCAAAAACAAGCUGCCUCCAACGCUCAAAUUAAUUAGCUUCAAAGUUAUGCAAGAUUUAUUAGUGGCCUGUAUGGCCAAUUUAUGUAUCAGCAAAUUUCACUUCUUAGAUACGUACUUGUAUAGUUGUGUGCAAUUUUACAAAUAUGUACUCCCACCGUCCCUUAAUAUCCGAACCAAUUAGACAUUUUGCACUAUUCACAUAAUUUACUUGGACCCUAUUUUAUUUCUAUUAUACGAAAACAAAUAGUAUAUAAUAUAUUGUUGACUUCAUCUUAAUAUAUAUUUUCAAAAUAUUAAUAUUUUUAUAAGUUUUUAUAAUACGUAGUUAAAGAAAUUGGUGAUCAAAUUAAAUUGUGCAUCGGUAAAUAUAUCCGGUCAAAACAAGUCGAGUAUUAAAGGACAGAGUUAGUAGUCAAACAAUGUGAUCCCUUAAUCGAAAAUAAUAUGGAUCGAAUAAGUAUUUUAAAACGUCCGAGUAAACUUGUAACGUGUCCACCUUGAUCAAAGAGUAAUCUUGACCCCUUUUAUCAUUCUUACUAUUUUUAAGUCCUUGCUAAAAUUGAAAAAAUUUAAUGUGUAAAAUGAUGAGAAUGAUCCAAUUAUUAUAAAAGUAUUUUAAGUAAAAUAUGCCCAUAAUAUUGACAAGGGAUAUAUAUAUAAAUGUAGAAAAUAAAAAAGAGAUGAGAAAUAUACCAGAGCAAAGGCACCAGCAGCAACAGCACCAAGCUCACCCAAAUGCUCCUUAUGGCCGUGGUGCUUAACCUCCUUCUCAUAAUCUUUUUCGUCGGCGACCACCGCAGUUGUAGUGGUCUCGGUGUAUCCACUGCCGUACGCGGUGUCGGGAUAGGUGGUGGUGUCACUUAGGAUCACAGCUUCCACUGGGGUAUUCUCCUCAUCAUCCUUC
Molecule: long non-coding RNA, 2964 nt
Organism: Spinacia oleracea (spinach)
Lineage: Eukaryota; Viridiplantae; Streptophyta; Magnoliopsida; Caryophyllales; Amaranthaceae
Exons: 2
Source: RefSeq, a predicted model, not a curated record